This 301-nucleotide ribosomal RNA is filed under the name uncultured bacterium. RNAcentral describes it as "partial 16S ribosomal RNA". It matches the Rfam family "Bacterial small subunit ribosomal RNA", at positions 509 to 807 of the family's 1533-position model. The record is from RNAcentral.
CAGCAGCCGCGGUAAUACGAAGGGUGCAAGCGUUACUCGGAAUUACUGGGCGUAAAGCGUGCGUAGGUGGUGGUUUAAGUCCGUUGUGAAAGCCCUGGGCUCAACCUGGGAAUUGCAGUGGAUACUGGGUCACUAGAGUGUGGUAGAGGAUAGUGGAAUUUCCGGUGUAGCAGUGAAAUGCGUAGAGAUUGGAAGGAACAUCUGUGGCGAAGGCGACUAUCUGGGCCAACACUGACACUGAGGCACGAAAGCGUGGGGAGCAAACAGGAUUAGAGACCCGCGUAGUCCCUGUCUCUUAUAC